UACAGAGGUCUCAAGCGUUGUUCGGAAUUACUGGGCGUAAAGGGUUCGUAGGUGGCUUGCUAAGUCAGACGUGAAAUCCCUCAGCUUAACUGGGGAACUGCGUCUGAUACUGGCGAGCUUGAGUGCAGGAGAGGAACGCAGAAUUCCAGGUGUAGCGGUGAAAUGCGUAGAUAUCAAGUGGAACACCAGUGGCGAAGGCGAGUCUCUGGACAUUUCCUGACGCUGAGGCACGAAAGCCAGGGGAGCAAACGGG
This 253-nucleotide ribosomal RNA is filed under the name uncultured bacterium. RNAcentral's name for it is "partial 16S ribosomal RNA". It matches the Rfam family "Bacterial small subunit ribosomal RNA", at positions 524 to 776 of the family's 1533-position model. The record is from RNAcentral.